AGCUUGUCAAUGAUGUUUCUCUUUAAAAAUGUCUGAACAUAUGAGUUCCAUAGUGAUUUUGACUUGGAACUGAGAUAAGCU
Chelonoidis abingdonii (Abingdon island giant tortoise) is the source of this 81-nucleotide small nucleolar RNA. Ensembl annotates it as small nucleolar RNA, C/D box 72. Its record names the gene SNORD72. NCBI's taxonomy places the organism in Eukaryota, Metazoa, Chordata, Testudines, Testudinidae. The record is from Ensembl.